Molecule: ribosomal RNA, 468 nt
Filed under: uncultured bacterium
Lineage: Bacteria
Description: partial 16S ribosomal RNA
Rfam family: Bacterial small subunit ribosomal RNA
Source: RNAcentral
GACGAACGCUGGCGGCGUGCUUAACACAUGCAAGUCGAACGGAAAGGCCCUGCUUUUGUGGGGUGCUCGAGUGGCGAACGGGUGAGUAACACGUGAGUAACCUGCCCUUGACUUUGGGAUAACUUCAGGAAACUGGGGCUAAUACCGGAUAGGAGCCCCAGCUGCAUGGUGGGGGUUGGAAAGUUUCGGCGGUUGGGGAUGGACUCGCGGCUUAUCAGCUUGUUGGUGGGGUAGUGGCUUACCAAGGCUUUGACGGGUAGCCGGCCUGAGAGGGUGACCGGCCACAUUGGGACUGAGAUACGGCCCAGACUCCUACGGGAGGCAGCAGUGGGGAAUAUUGCACAAUGGGCGGAAGCCUGAUGCAGCAACGCCGCGUGCGGGAUGACGGCCUUCGGGUUGUAAACCGCUUUCGCCUGUGACGAAGCGUGAGUGACGGUAAUGGGUAAAGAAGCACCGGCUAACUACGUG